This 377-nucleotide unclassified non-coding RNA is filed under the name uncultured Frankiales bacterium. Its description in RNAcentral is "contains 16S-23S intergenic spacer region". The record is from RNAcentral. Lineage: Bacteria; Bacillati; Actinomycetota; Actinomycetes; Frankiales.
UCCGAGUUGACCCCGGCAGUCUCCUAUGAGUCCCCGGCAUAACCCGCUGGCAACAUAGAACGAGGGUUGCGCUCGUUGCGGGACUUAACCCAACAUCUCACGACACGAGCUGACGACAACCAUGCACCACCUGUGUGCGACCCUUACGGACCCCGCAUCUCUGCGAGAUUUCCGCACAUGUCAAGCCUUGGUAAGGUUCUACGCGUUGCGUCGAAUUAAGCCACAUGCUCCGCCGCUUGUGCGGGCCCCCGUCAAUUCCUUUGAGUUUUAGCCUUGCGACCGUACUCCCCAGGCGGGGCGCUUAAUGCGUUAGCUGCGGCACGGAGGGAGUGGAAUACCCCCCACACCUAGCGCCCAACGUUUACGGCGUGGACUAC